AAACAUCUGAAGAGGUAGGCUAAUAGCAAGCGUAUCCUUCGGUCCUAUCAUGCAAUACAAACAAUCUCGCAAGCAUCACACAAAAACAGGUAGGCAGCUCAUCGAAUGCAACAAGCGGACCCCAGCAAAUCACCACCACCCCAGCAAUGCCUGCCUAAUAGACUGAACUGCCAUCAAGCAUAGCUGCCCGUCGCCGCUCAGGUUCAUCAGUAUUCGGAUGGUGAGAUGACGUCGUCAAUCUUGAGGAUCAUCUUCACCACCUGAGUGGCAAGUA
Molecule: long non-coding RNA, 274 nt
Filed under: Setaria italica (foxtail millet)
Lineage: Eukaryota; Viridiplantae; Streptophyta; Magnoliopsida; Poales; Poaceae
Description: long non-coding RNA (SITA_LNC000812)
Source: RNAcentral